RNAcentral lists this unclassified non-coding RNA (336 nucleotides) under soil metagenome. Its description in RNAcentral is "partial contains 5.8S ribosomal RNA, internal transcribed spacer 2, and large subunit ribosomal RNA". The stretch from base 1 to 120 matches the Rfam family "5.8S ribosomal RNA", at positions 35 to 154 of the family's 154-position model. The record is from RNAcentral.
GAUGAAUAACGCAGCGAAAUGCGAUAAGUAAUGUGAAUUGCAGAAUUCAGUGAAUCAUCGAAUCUUUGAACGCACAUUGCGCCCGCCAGUAUUCUGGCGGGCAUGCCUGUUCGAGCGUCAUUUCAACCAUCAAGCCCCCGGCUUGUGUUGGGGACCUGCGGCUGCCGCAGGCCCUGAAAACCAGUGGCGGGCUCGCUGUCACACCGAGCGUAGUAGAUUUUCAUCUCGCUCAGGGCGUGCUGCGGGUUCCGGCCGUAAAAAGCCUUAUUUACCCAAGGUUGACCUCGGAUCAGGUAGGAAGACCCGCUGAACUUAAGCAUAUCAAUAAGCGGAGGA